RNAcentral lists this ribosomal RNA (568 nucleotides) under uncultured bacterium. RNAcentral describes it as "bacterial SSU rRNA". It matches the Rfam family "Bacterial small subunit ribosomal RNA", at positions 338 to 916 of the family's 1533-position model. The record is from RNAcentral.
CCUACGGGAGGCAGCAGUGGGGAAUAUUGCGCAAUGGGCGGAAGCCUGACGCAGCGACGCCGCGUGAGGGAUGACGGCCUUCGGGUUGUAAACCUCUUUCAGCUCUGACGAAGCGUGAGUGACGGUAGGAGCAGAAGAAGCACCGGCCAACUACGUGCCAGCAGCCGCGGUAAUACGUAGGGUGCAAGCGUUGUCCGGAAUUAUUGGGCGUAAAGAGCUCGUAGGCGGUUUGUCGCGUCGAAUGUGAAAACCCGGGGCUCAACCCCGGGCCUGCAUUCGAUACGGGCAGACUAGAGUUCGGUAGGGGAGUCUGGAAUUCCUGGUGUAGCGGUGAAAUGCGCAGAUAUCAGGAGGAACACCGGUGGCGAAGGCGGGACUCUGGGCCGAUACUGACGCUGAGGAGCGAAAGCGUGGGGAGCGAACAGGAUUAGAUACCCUGGUAGUCCACGCCGUAAACGUUGGGCGCUAGGUGUGGGGUUCCUUCCACGAACUCCGUGCCGCAGCUAACGCAUUAAGCGCCCCGCCUGGGGAGUACGGCCGCAAGGCUAAAACUCAAAUGAAUUGACGG